Molecule: ribosomal RNA, 513 nt
Filed under: uncultured bacterium
Lineage: Bacteria
Description: partial 16S ribosomal RNA
Rfam family: Bacterial small subunit ribosomal RNA
Source: RNAcentral
GAUGAACGCUGGCGGCGUGCCUAAUACAUGCAAGUCGAGCGAACAGAUAAGGAGCUUGCUCCUUUGACGUUAGCGGCGGACGGGUGAGUAACACGUGGAUAACCUACCUAUAAGACUGUGAUAACUUCGGGAAACCGGAGCUAAUACCGGAUAACAUAUUGAACCGCAUGGUUCAAUAGUGAAAGGCGGCUUUGCUGUCACUUAUAGAUGGAUCCGCGCCGUAUUAGCUAGUUGGUAAGGUAACGGCUUACCAAGGCAACGAUACGUAGCCGACCUGAGAGGGUGAUCGGCCACAAUGGAACUGAGACACGGUCCAGACUCCUACGGGAGGCAGCAGUAGGGAAUCUUCCGCAAUGGGCGAAAGCCUGACGGAGCAACGCCGCGUGAGUGAUGAAGGUCUUCGGAUCGUAAAACUCUGUUAUCAGGGAAGAACAAAUGUGUAAGUAACUGUGCACAUCUUGACGGUACCUGAUCAGAAAGCCACGGCCAACUACGUGCCAGCCGCCGCGGUAA